UGAGGAUGAAGCAGCUUCAUGGCCGGAGAUCGGGCGCCUCCCAUCAGUUUCCCUUUUCAGCAAUAGAGGCCUUGGAGGCCUUUCUACCUGCGUUGCAUCCUGUGGCUGGACCACUCCAACGAUCUCGGCAGAAUCGUUACACAGGAAGAAGUCUGGCUGGCCCCAAGCCUGGU
RNAcentral lists this long non-coding RNA (173 nucleotides) under Dermacentor andersoni. Its description in RNAcentral is "uncharacterized LOC126536268". Lineage: Eukaryota; Metazoa; Arthropoda; Arachnida; Ixodida; Ixodidae. The record is from RNAcentral.